Sus scrofa (pig) is the source of this 681-nucleotide non-coding RNA. The record is from RefSeq and is a predicted model, not a curated record. NCBI's taxonomy places the organism in Eukaryota, Metazoa, Chordata, Mammalia, Artiodactyla, Suidae.
GUUUCGUGAUCUAAAGGGAGCGUUCUGCUCUACAAUGCAUGUCAGACUGAGCCAUCAGCCGUCCCUCCCUAUGGUCACUCUGCUCUGAGCCUCCGUCUCGUCCUGCCUGGACCACAGGAGCCUGGUGCACCAACUCCCUGCCGGUGGCUGACGGGGUCCCACGUGACAGGGGUCCUCCCCGACCCUCCCCCAUUGCCCCCUUCCCCCAACACCGGGGACACCGUGGCUGCCUCCACCCCUGGAGCCCAAGCCUUCCAGCAAGGUCCCUCCUCCUGGACACUUCAUCCUUCUCAGAAAAGGAACCCCAGCAAGACCAAGCCCCAAAUGGAGCAACACCCCAUCAAUGGAACCCAGGCCUGCUGAACUGAAAAUGAAAAGUAAACAGAGAUGCUACACAGAGGACUGAUGACACGCUGCUGGGAUGUCGUGGGCGGGAAGACUCUGUGGUUUACAACAGAGCUCCUGGGACACGGCCUCUGGGAGAGGGGCAGGUGCCACACAUCUACUGUCCAUACACCUGUCUGGUACUUGGUAAUCCCCAAAAAAUCAACUUUAUUACCAAAGACUUAAAGUAGAAAAGAGCACCAACUUACUUAAAUUCUUCUUGUUUCUGUUUCUUGUAGUCUUGUCUGUAUUUCGUAAAGGCAUCAAAUAAAUGAUAAAUAAUUUCUGCACUAAAAA